This 27-nucleotide non-coding RNA is filed under the name Arabidopsis thaliana (thale cress). The record is from RNAcentral. Lineage: Eukaryota; Viridiplantae; Streptophyta; Magnoliopsida; Brassicales; Brassicaceae. RNAcentral also lists the same sequence under 1 other name.
GUCGGGGGAAACCCGUCUGAUAGCGCU